This 512-nucleotide long non-coding RNA is filed under the name Vulpes vulpes (red fox). Its description in RNAcentral is "lncRNA (ENSVVUG00000013160.1)". The record is from RNAcentral. Lineage: Eukaryota; Metazoa; Chordata; Mammalia; Carnivora; Canidae.
GAGUUGAAGAUCCAUGUCAUCCUUAUGGACAUAUAAAUACUGCUUGUUCUUCUCUCCCAGAGGUGUAUUUGUGCACUCACAGAGAGGCAUGUCAUGGCCUACAGUGAAGUGUCGUGGAGCUCUGGUUAAGAGAUUGGUGAGAACACCUCGUGUAGAGUCCUGCACCACUGAGUUAAAGCCCAGCUUCAUCAUCACACCUGUGCAAUUGAGUUACUUAAUUUUAUUUGUGACUUAGUUUACCUCUUUCUAAGAUGAAUACAGUAAUACCACAUCGUAUUCGGUGGUUAGUACAGUAUAUAGCCUGGAGCAAAUACUAAGUAAAUAUUAUCUUUGUCAUUAGUGUUAUUAGAUAUAUUUCAAAAUCCAUUCCCAUAAUACGUACAGCUUUCUAGCUGACCCUAGCUUAUUUUAUUAACUCAUUACCAGUCGUCACUCAUCAUGGUUUGAGCUGGUCUGGGAAACUAUAGACAAUUUCCCCUAUCAUGGUUUUUCAUUAUGUACUUGCAUUUACA